GUGGGGAAUAUUGGACAAUGGGCGAAAGCCUGAUCCAGCAAUGCCGCGUGAGUGAUGAAGGCCUUAGGGUUGUAAAGCUCUUUUACCAGGGAUGAUAAUGACAGUACCUGGAGAAUAAGCUCCGGCUAACUCCGUGCCAGCAGCCGCGGUAAUACGGAGGGAGCUAGCGUUGUUCGGAAUUACUGGGCGUAAAGCGCGCGUAGGCGGUUUAUCAAGUCAGGGGUGAAAUCCCGGGGCUCAACCCCGGAACUGCCCUUGAAACUGGUUCACUAGAAUCCUGGAGAGGCGAGUGGAAUUCCGAGUGUAGAGGUGAAAUUCGUAGAUAUUCGGAAGAACACCAGUGGCGAAGGCGACUCGCUGGACAGGUAUUGACGCUGAGGUGCGAAAGCGUGGGGAGCAAACAGGAUUAGAUACCCUUGUAGUCC
RNAcentral lists this ribosomal RNA (425 nucleotides) under uncultured bacterium. Its description in RNAcentral is "partial 16S ribosomal RNA". It matches the Rfam family "Bacterial small subunit ribosomal RNA", at positions 354 to 796 of the family's 1533-position model. The record is from RNAcentral.